This 258-nucleotide ribosomal RNA is filed under the name uncultured bacterium. Its description in RNAcentral is "partial 16S ribosomal RNA". It matches the Rfam family "Bacterial small subunit ribosomal RNA", at positions 98 to 354 of the family's 1533-position model. The record is from RNAcentral.
CGGGACGGGUGAGUAACGUGUGGGCAACCCUGCCCUGCACUGGGGAAUAAUCAUUGGAAACGAUGACUAAUACCGCAUACGGUUCCUGGAGGCAUCUUCCGGGAAAGAAAGGAUUUAUUCGGUGCAGGAUGGGCCCGCAUCUGAUUAGCUAGUUGGUGAGAUAACAGCCCACCAAGGCGACGAUCAGUAGCCGACCUGAGAGGGUGACCGGCCACAUUGGGACUGAGACACGGCCCAAACUCCUACGGGAGGCAGCAG